RNAcentral lists this ribosomal RNA (374 nucleotides) under uncultured eukaryote. RNAcentral describes it as "partial 18S ribosomal RNA". It matches the Rfam family "Eukaryotic small subunit ribosomal RNA", at positions 592 to 976 of the family's 1831-position model. The record is from RNAcentral.
CAAGAGCGUAUGUCAAAGUUGUUGCAGUUAAAAAGCUCGUAGUUGAACCUUGGGUUUGGUUGGCCGGUCCGCUUUUUUGCGAGUACUGGAUUCAACCGAGCCUUUCCUUCUGGCUAACCAGUCGUUUCGGCGGCUGGCGAACCAGGAUUUUUACCUUGAGAAAAUUAGAGUGUUCAAAGCAGGCAUUAGCUUGAAUAUAUUAGCAUGGAAUAAUAGAAUAGGACGUUAUGGUUCUAUUUUGUUGGUUUCUAGGACCAUCGUAAUGAUUAAUAGGGACGGUCGGGGGCAUCAGUAUUCAGUUGUCAGAGGUGAAAUUCUUGGAUUUACUGAAGACUAACUACUGCGAAAGCAUUUGCCAAGGACGUUUUCAUUAA